GACGAACGCUGGCGGCGUGCUUAACACAUGCAAGUCGAACGGAAAGGCCCUGCUUUUGUGGGGUGCUCGAGUGGCGAACGGGUGAGUAACACGUGAGUAACCUGCCCUUGACUUUGGGAUAACUUCAGGAAACUGGGGCUAAUACCGGAUAGGAGCUCCUGCUGCAUGGUGGGGGUUGGAAAGUUUCGGCGGUUGGGGAUGGACUCGCGGCUUAUCAGCUUGUUGGUGGGGUAGUGGCUUACCAAGGCUUUGACGGGUAGCCGGCCUGAGAGGGUGACCGGCCACAUUGGGACUGAGAUACGGCCCAGACUGCUACGGGAGGCAGCAGUGGGGAAUAUUGCACAAUGGGCGGAAGCCUGAUGCAGCAACGCCACGUGCGGGAUGACGGCCUUCGGGUUGUAAACCGCUUUCGCCGGUGACGAAGCGUGAGUGACGGUAAUGGGUAAAGAAGCACCGGCUAACUACGUG
RNAcentral lists this ribosomal RNA (468 nucleotides) under uncultured bacterium. RNAcentral describes it as "partial 16S ribosomal RNA". It matches the Rfam family "Bacterial small subunit ribosomal RNA", at positions 28 to 507 of the family's 1533-position model. The record is from RNAcentral.